This 397-nucleotide ribosomal RNA is filed under the name uncultured bacterium. RNAcentral's name for it is "partial 16S ribosomal RNA". It matches the Rfam family "Bacterial small subunit ribosomal RNA", at positions 523 to 918 of the family's 1533-position model. The record is from RNAcentral.
AUACGUAGGGGGCGAGCGUUGUCCGGAAUGAUUGGGCGUAAAGGGCGCGUAGGCGGCUUUGCAAGUCAGUAGUGGAAGUCCAUUUUUCAAGGAUGGAAGUGCUACAGAAACUGCGGAGCUUGAGUGCAGGAGAGGUUAUCGGAAUUCCCGGUGUAGCGGUGAAAUGCGUAGAGAUCGGGAGGAACACCAGUGGCGAAGGCGGGUAACUGGACUGCAACUGACGCUGAGGCGCGAAAGUGUGGGGAGCAAACAGGAUUAGAUACCCUGGUAGUCCACACUGUAAACGAUGAAUGCUAGGUGUAGGAGGUAUCGACCCCUUCUGUGCCGCAGUAAACACAGUAAGCAUUCCGCCUGGGGAGUACGGUCGCAAGAUUAAAACUUAAAGGAAUUGACGGGG